Molecule: ribosomal RNA, 791 nt
Filed under: uncultured archaeon
Lineage: Archaea
Description: bacterial SSU rRNA
Rfam family: Archaeal small subunit ribosomal RNA
Source: RNAcentral
ACGGCUCAGUAACACGUAGUCAACAUGCCCAGGGGACGUGGAUAACCUCGGGAAACUGAGGAUAAACCGCGAUAAGUCACUACUUCUGGAAUGGGUAAUGACUCAAAUCUACAUGGCCCCUGGAUUGGACUGCGGCCGAUCAGGCUGUUGGUGAGGUAAUGGCCCACCAAACCUGUAACCGGUACGGGCUCUGAGAGGAGGAGCCCGGAGAUGGGCACUGAGACAAGGGCCCAGGCCCUAUGGGGCGCAGCAGGCGCGAAACCUCUGCAAUAGGCGAAAGCCUGACAGGGUUACUCUGAGUGAUUUCCGUUAAGGAGAUCUUUUGGCACCUCUAAAAAUGGUGCAGAAUAAGGGGUGGGCAAGUCUGGUGUCAGCCGCCGCGGUAAUACCAGCACCCCGAGUGGUCGGGACGUUUAUUGGGCCUAAAGCAUCCGUAGCCGGUUCUACAAGUCUUCCGUUAAAUCCACCUGCUUAACAGAUGGGCUGCGGAAGAUACUAUAGAGCUAGGAGGCGGGAGAGGCAAGCGGUACUCGAUGGGUAGGGGUAAAAUCCGUUGAUCCAUUGAAGACCACCAGUGGCGAAGGCGGCUUGCCAGAACGCGCUCGACGGUGAGGGAUGAAAGCUGGGGGAGCAAACCGGAUUAGAUACCCGGGUAGUCCCAGCUGUAAACGAUGCAGACUCGGUGAUGAAUUGGCUUUAUGCCAAUUCAGUGCCGCAGGGAAGCCGUUAAGUUUGCCGCCUGGGGAGUACGGUCGCAAGACUGAAACUUAAAGGAAUUGGCGGGGGAGCAC